GGAAGUAAAAGUCAUAACAAGGUUUCCGUAGGUGAACCUGCGGAAGGAUCAUUAUUGUAUAACCGAGGUGCGAGGGCUGUCGCUGACCCGAAAGGUCGUGCACGCCCGAGUGCCCUCACACACAUCCAUCUCACCCCUAUGUGCACCACCGCGUGGGUCCCCCUUUGGCUUGUUCGGAGGGGGGCUUACGUUUUCACACAAACUUUGUAUGCAGUGUAGAAUGUAUUUUUUGUUUUUGCGAUCACGCAAUCAAUACAGCUUUCAACAACGGAUCUCUUGGCUCUC
This 285-nucleotide unclassified non-coding RNA is filed under the name plant metagenome. RNAcentral describes it as "partial contains small subunit ribosomal RNA and internal transcribed spacer 1". The stretch from base 1 to 54 matches the Rfam family "Eukaryotic small subunit ribosomal RNA", at positions 1778 to 1831 of the family's 1831-position model. The record is from RNAcentral.